Molecule: ribosomal RNA, 638 nt
Filed under: uncultured fungus
Lineage: Eukaryota; Fungi
Description: eukaryotic LSU rRNA
Rfam family: 5.8S ribosomal RNA (bases 220-373)
Source: RNAcentral
UCCGUAGGUGAACCUGCGGAAGGAUCAUUACCUGGCCUUGGGCCGCUCGCGGGAGCUAGUCGCUUGCGACGACGCUGCCGAGGGUGCUUAGCCCUUGACUAUCACCUUGACUACGUGCACCUUUUGUUGUUUCCUCGGCAGGUCAUCUGCCGCCAGGAACCCCUCAAACCUUUUUGCAACAGCAUCCAAAACUUCUGAAAACAAACCAAAAUUAUUUACAACUUUUAACAAUGGAUCUCUUGGUUCUGGCAUCGAUGAAGAACGCAGCGAAAUGCGAUAAGUAGUGUGAAUUGCAGAAUUCAGUGAAUCAUCGAAUCUUUGAACGCACAUUGCGCCCGCUGGUAUUCCGGCGGGCAUGCCUGUUCGAGCGUCAUUUCAACCCUCAAGCCCCGGCGUUUGGUGUUGGGGAUCGGCUCUGCCUUCUGGCGGCGCCGCCCCCGAACAUACAUUGGCCGGUCUCGCUGCAGCCUCCAUUGCGUAGUAGCUAACACCUCGCAACUGGAACGCGGCGCGGCCAUGCCGUAAAACCCCACUCUGAUGUUGACCUCGGAUCAGGUAGGAAUACCCGCUGAACUUAAGCAUAUCAAUAAGGCGGGAGGGGAAGGUCGGACUGGGGCAAGGGCACACAGGGGGGGAUA